CCGUGCUCCGCACCGCGCUGCCAGCGAGGAAGCAGAUGCAGUAGCCAAGAGUGUUUAGAAGGAGGUGUUUCCUCAAAAAAAAAAAAAACAGAGCGGCAGACGUGCCGCUCACCUGGCCCAGCCGGUCAUGGGGAAGCGGAGUCGCGACUUCAGUGAGUUACUGUGCUAAACCGGCGCGGAGGCGCGUGAGAAGCCGCAAAGGGCAGAGCGCGGCGAAUCGACCCCCUCGCCUCGCCGGGCCGGCUCUCCGCACGCCCCCGCUGCUCCACGGCCCGCCGGGCUUGCCAAAAUCGGCGGGAAUCUCAGCUGAGGAAAAUCGCUCGAGGAGCUUAUUGAGUCGCCUAUCAAGAUGGAGGACAGAAGCUGAUAGYGAGCAGAAAACAUUUUUGGAAACUUUGACGCCCAUCCCUAAAAUCAGGGAAGGAAUAAACUGCUGUUAG
This 440-nucleotide long non-coding RNA is filed under the name Apteryx rowi (Okarito brown kiwi). Its description in RNAcentral is "lncRNA (ENSARWG00000010602.1)". Lineage: Eukaryota; Metazoa; Chordata; Aves; Apterygiformes; Apterygidae. The record is from RNAcentral.